RNAcentral lists this ribosomal RNA (353 nucleotides) under uncultured bacterium. RNAcentral's name for it is "partial 16S ribosomal RNA". It matches the Rfam family "Bacterial small subunit ribosomal RNA", at positions 338 to 708 of the family's 1533-position model. The record is from RNAcentral.
CCUACGGGUGGCAGCAGUAGGGAAUAUUGCUCAAUGGGGGAAACCCUGACGCAGCAACGCCGCGUGGAGGAUGAAGGUUUUCGGAUUGUAAACUCCUGUUGUUAGAGAAGAUCGUGCAGGUAUCUAACGAAUAGGCACCGGAUAACUCCGUGCCAGCAGCCGCGGUAUUACGGAGGGUGAAAGCGUUACGCGGCAUCACUGGGCGGAAAGUGCUCGUAGGCGGGAUAGCAAGUCAGAGGUGAAAUCCCAUGGCUUAACCAUAGAACUGCAUUUGAAACUGUUAUUCUAGAGUAUGUGAGAGGGUGGUGGAAUUCUAGGUGUAGGAGUAAAAUCCGUAGAGAUCAAGAGGAAUA